This is a non-coding RNA of Brenneria sp. EniD312, 3011 nucleotides long. Lineage: Bacteria; Pseudomonadati; Pseudomonadota; Gammaproteobacteria; Enterobacterales; Pectobacteriaceae. The record is from Rfam.
GGUUAAGCGACUAAGCGUACACGGGUGGAUGCCUAGGCAGUCAGAGGCGAUGAAGGGCGUGCUAAUCUGCGAAAAGCGUCGGCAAGGUGAUAUGAACCGUUACACCCGACGAUACCCGAAUGGGGAAACCCAGUGCAAUACGUUGCACUAUUUCAUGGUGAAUACAUAGCCAUGAAAGGCGAACCGGGGGAACUGAAACAUCUCAGUACCCCGAGGAAAAGAAAUCAACCGAGAUUCCCCCAGUAGCGGCGAGCGAACGGGGAGGAGCCCAGAACCAUCAUCAGUUUGUGUGUCAGUGGAAGCGUCUGGAAAGUCGCGCAACAAAGGGUGAUAGUCCCGUACACGAAGAUGCACAUGCUGUGAGUUCGAUGAGUAGGGCGGGACACGAGAUAUCCUGUCUGAAGAUGGGGGGACCAUCCUCCAAGGCUAAAUACUCCUGACUGACCGAUAGUGAACCAGUACCGUGAGGGAAAGGCGAAAAGAACCCCGGCGAGGGGAGUGAAACAGAACCUGAAACCGUGUACGUACAAGCAGUGGGAGCCUUGAUUUAUCAGGGUGACUGCGUACCUUUUGUAUAAUGGGUCAGCGACUUAUAUUCUGUAGCAAGGUUAACCGCAUAGGGGAGCCGUAGGGAAACCGAGUCUUAACUGGGCGUCAAGUUGCAGGGUAUAGACCCGAAACCCGGUGAUCUAGCCAUGGGCAGGUUGAAGGUUGGGUAACACUAACUGGAGGACCGAACCGACUAAUGUUGAAAAAUUAGCGGAUGACUUGUGGCUGGGGGUGAAAGGCCAAUCAAACCGGGAGAUAGCUGGUUCUCCCCGAAAGCUAUUUAGGUAGCGCCUCGUGAACUCAUCUGCGGGGGUAGGAGCACUGUUUCGUACUAGGGGGUCGAUCCCGACUUACCAACUCGAUGCAAACUGCGAAUACCGUAGAAUGUAAUCACGGGAGACACACGGCGGGUGCUAACGUCCGUCGUGAAGAGGGAAACAACCCAGACCGCCAGCUAAGGUCCCAAAGUCAUGGUUAAGUGGGAAACGAUGUGGGAAGGCCCAGACAGCCAGGAUGUUGGCUUAGAAGCAGCCAUCAUUUAAAGAAAGCGUAAUAGCUCACUGGUCGAGUCGGCCUGCGCGGAAGAUGUAACGGGGCUAAACCAUGCACCGAAGCUGCGGCAGCGAACGUAUCACUUAAAACGCUUAACGUGACGGCGAAGCUGGCACGUUCAAGCCACAAAAACGUUGAGUUGGCCUGAGCGCUGACAGACGGCAAGGCGUUUUAAGGAUACGUUCGUUGGGUAGGGGAGCGUUCUGUAAGCCGUAGAAGGUGGCCUGUGAGGGCUGCUGGAGGUAUCAGAAGUGCGAAUGCUGACAUAAGUAACGAUAAUGCGGGUGAAAAACCCGCACGCCGGAAGACCAAGGGUUCCUGUCCAACGUUAAUCGGGGCAGGGUGAGUCGACCCCUAAGGCGAGGCCGAAAGGCGUAGUCGAUGGGAAACGGGUUAAUAUUCCCGUACUGGUUGUUACUGCGAAGGGGGGACGGAGAAAGCUAGGUUGGCCGGGCGACGGUAGUCCCGGUUUAAGCGUGAAGGUGGGUGUUUUUGGAAAAUCCGGAACACCAUAACACUGAGGCGUGAUGACGAGUCACUACGGUGACGAAGUAACCGAUGCUACGCUUCCAGGAAAAGCCUCUAAGCACCAGGUAACAGUCAAUCGUACCCCAAACCGACACAGGUGGUCAGGUAGAGAAUACUCAGGCGCUUGAGAGAACUCGGGUGAAGGAACUAGGCAAAAUGGUGCCGUAACUUCGGGAGAAGGCACGCUGGAUUUGGUGAAGUCCCUUGCGGAUGGAGCUGAGACCAGUCGCAGAUACCAGCUGGCUGCAACUGUUUAAUAAAAACACAGCACUGUGCAAACACGAAAGUGGACGUAUACGGUGUGACGCCUGCCCGGUGCCGGAAGGUUAAUUGAUGGGGUCAGCCUUAGGGCGAAGCUCUUGAUCGAAGCCCCGGUAAACGGCGGCCGUAACUAUAACGGUCCUAAGGUAGCGAAAUUCCUUGUCGGGUAAGUUCCGACCUGCACGAAUGGCGUAAUGAUGGCCAGGCUGUCUCCACCCGAGACUCAGUGAAAUUGAACUCGCUGUGAAGAUGCAGUGUACCCGCGGCAAGACGGAAAGACCCCGUGAACCUUUACUAUAGCUUGACACUGAACCUUGAGCCUUGAUGUGUAGGAUAGGUGGGAGGCUGUGAAGCGUGGACGCCAGUCUGCGUGGAGCCGACCUUGAAAUACCACCCUUUGAUGUUUGAUGUUCUAACGUGGGCCCGUAAUCCGGGUUGCGGACAGUGUCUGGUGGGUAGUUUGACUGGGGCGGUCUCCUCCCAAAGCGUAACGGAGGAGCACGAAGGUUAGCUAAUCCUGGUCGGACAUCAGGAGGUUAGUGCAAAGGCAUAAGCUAGCUUGACUGCGAGAGUGACGGCUCGAGCAGGUGCGAAAGCAGGUCUUAGUGAUCCGGUGGUUCUGAAUGGAAGGGCCAUCGCUCAACGGAUAAAAGGUACUCCGGGGAUAACAGGCUGAUACCGCCCAAGAGUUCAUAUCGACGGCGGUGUUUGGCACCUCGAUGUCGGCUCAUCACAUCCUGGGGCUGAAGUAGGUCCCAAGGGUAUGGCUGUUCGCCAUUUAAAGUGGUACGCGAGCUGGGUUUAGAACGUCGUGAGACAGUUCGGUCCCUAUCUGCCGUGGGCGUUGGAAGAUUGAGAGGGGUUGCUCCUAGUACGAGAGGACCGGAGUGAACGCACCACUGGUGUACGGGUUGUGAUGCCAAUUGCAUUGCCCGGUAGCUAAGUGCGGAAGAGAUAACCGCUGAAAGCAUCUAAGCGGGAAACUUGCCUCGAGAUGAGUCUUCCCUGGGACUUCGAGUCCCCUGAAGGGCCGUUGAAGACGACGACGUAGAUAGGCCGGGUGUGUAAGCGCAGCGAUGCGUUGAGCUGACCGGUACUAAUGACCCGAGAGGCUUAACCUU